Molecule: long non-coding RNA, 2247 nt
Organism: Oncorhynchus gorbuscha (pink salmon)
Lineage: Eukaryota; Metazoa; Chordata; Actinopteri; Salmoniformes; Salmonidae
Exons: 4
Source: RefSeq, a predicted model, not a curated record
AAGCACCUCCAUAGCACUUUGUCAUCACCUGCUGAGAAUCCGUCUCUGAAAGCAGAGGUCAGGGAGGCCCUCACUCUGGUGGGUUAUAACAACCCUGUUAAAGGCCUAGGCAUCAGGGUUCGACGGAGGGCGAAUCAGGUGCCAUCCCGGGCUUCAUGCUGGGUGUGUUCCAGAUCCCUCUAAAUGAUUGUGAGGAGCUCUACAGGAGCUGGGUUCUGACGCCUUCAAGCAGAACGUCAUCGUUGGCACCAUCAAGAUGGGCUGGAGCCAUUUCUUCUGCGACUCGCAGACCUUGGAGCAAAUCCUCAAAGAGAAAAUGGGCUCUCAUGGUGGAAACAUCAAGAAACUCCAAAUGCCCAAAGUUAAGCUUUGACACAUGGUAUGACUCAUUUACACUCUCUGGAGUGUGGCGCUGAUGAUCACACACACACACGCCCUCUCAUGGAUGGCAAGGUGGACAGUGAGGAAGGAAGGCCCUCACGAUCUCUUAAAGGUCCUAGUAGUCAUUUUUUUUCAAUAUCAAAUAAUUUCUGGGUAAUAAUUGAGUACCUAACUGUGAUUGUUUUCAAUUAUGGUCAAAAAUAAACAAAAAUAGAUUUUUAGCGAAGGGCAAUUUCUCAAGCAACAAUUUUGCUAGGACUGCCUGGGAUUGGUCUGAGCAGAGAGGCGAACACUGAAAAUGUGCUUUUAUUGGCAGAGAGAUUUGGAACUCCCUUAGUGUUUUACACGUAGUCCCUUUCAGCAGAAUGUUUGUGAACUCAGUGCAGGAACUCAAACCCCUCAAAAGAGCCCCCGAAACUAACUGAACUGAGAGCCAUCUCGAGAGGGGGUCUGAGUUUGGGUUCCCUUUAAUAGGACAAUGUGGACAUGAAGCUCCCCAGGUUCCCUUGUCAUUAUUCCCGCCCCACACCUAGAUUACUGCAAACGUUGUUUCCCCUGGCAUAAGCCCUCACAUUGGAGCCAAAAGAGAGAGAAGAUGAUGAUGUACAGGUUCAAGAAAAACAACGUGUGCCGUUUUUGAAUGUUGAUUAACGAUUGUCAUGGAUGCUUAGAAAUUCCAGAAUAUGUGUGGUUUUUAGUUCAAAUGAUUUGUUUUCAAUAUGUGAUCUGUAGGCUAAGAGAGCUUCUCAAGCUGUUUAGUUGAUUGUGGGGUUUGAAUAGUGUGAAAACAUAUUUGUUGAGAAUCACAACCAUGUCUAUUUUAGCUCUUAAAGGGGAAGUAGCCUACAUUGAGUGUACAAUUUUUUUAAGUACAACAUUAUGUAAUAUGCAGUUAUUCGUCUGCUAUUUAGUUACCAAUCAUUUUUGCAUGUUAACAGUAUCCUCGGAUUACAAUUAUUGUCUUAUAUUUGCAAUCUAUUGCCUCCCAAAAUAUAAGUAGGUGUAUCAAGGUGUCUGAUAACACAUUCUGAUGGAAUGGCUUGUCCAGCACAUUGUAAAAACCCAAAAGGCAUUGAGUGAAAAAAAAUAUUGUUUCCUUUCUAAACAUAUCAAUGUGAAUUCAAAGAGGACUCGGAUCACAGAAUAGUUAAAGUGAACUGACAAAAGAGUUGAGUCCUCAUUCAAGGGAAGGGUGCAUUGAGAAUACAAAGGUACAGUAACUGAGUUAUUUAGCUUUUUUUUCCUUUUUUUUACCCCAGAGUUCACUUCUUUUAAAGAAGAUUAUAUGUGAAAACACCCUUGGUUUAACACAUUUUCCACAUGGUGAUAACACCACGGAAGGCCUAAACUCCAUCCUACAAAAACAGCCUGAAAUUUCAAGCAGUCUUUUCAAACAACUCUUAUGCAUAAAGGGAAUUGUCAAUCAAAUCAAAUGAAAUUGUACUUGUCACAUGUGCCGAAUACAACAUAGACCUUACAGUGAAAUGUUUACUCACAAGCCCUUAACCAACAAUGCAGUUUUAAGAAAAAGUACCUUAAAAAUAAAUAAAAGUUACAAAUAAAUAAAGAGCAGCAGUAAAAUAACAAUAGCGAGGCUAUAUACAGGGGAUACCGGUACAGUGUCGUUCAUGUUCACAUUAUCUUAAUUUACAAAAUUGAACAGUAUUAUUCCAAACUCAUGGUGUGGAAAUAUAUAUAUAUAUAUAUAUAUAUAUAUAGAACAUAAAACAUAGAAAAAAACACAUUUUUGACUGGACUGGGCCUUUAAAGGCCCCAUGCAGUUUUUGAAUUUUCUUUUUCAAUCAUCACUGUAUGUAUCAAUAUAUUUGAUGUUUAUUUAAUGAAAAUAACUUCAACCUGUAUGUU